UUCCAGCUCCAAUAGCGUAUAUUAAAGUUGUUGCGGUUAAAAAGCUCGUAGUUGAAUUUGUGUCCCGCACUGUCGGUUCACCGCCCGCGGUGUUAACUGGCAUGUUUGCGGGACGUCCUGCCGGUGGAUGUAAGUGAAGAGAUUUUCGGAUCUUCUUUACUCAUCCGACUUAUAAAUCCUGUCGCGGUGCUCUUAAUUGAGUGUCGAGGCGGGCCGGCACGUUUACUUUGAACAAAUUAGAGUGCUCAAAGCAGGCUAAUUAAUGCCUGAAUAAUUAGUGCAUGGAAUAAUGGAACAGGACCUUGGUUCUAUUUUGUUGGUUUUCGGAACCCCAAGGUAAUGAUUAAUAGGGACAGAUGG
This 360-nucleotide ribosomal RNA is filed under the name Licinus hoffmannseggii. RNAcentral's name for it is "SSU rRNA". It matches the Rfam family "Eukaryotic small subunit ribosomal RNA", at positions 583 to 885 of the family's 1831-position model. Lineage: Eukaryota; Metazoa; Arthropoda; Insecta; Coleoptera; Carabidae. The record is from RNAcentral.